This 428-nucleotide ribosomal RNA is filed under the name uncultured bacterium. RNAcentral describes it as "bacterial SSU rRNA". It matches the Rfam family "Bacterial small subunit ribosomal RNA", at positions 355 to 774 of the family's 1533-position model. The record is from RNAcentral.
UGGGGAAUCUUCCGCAAUGGACGAAAGUCUGACGGAGCAACGCCGCGUGAGUGAAGAAGGUUUUCGGAUCGUAAAGCUCUGUUUUCAGGGACGAACGGCAGAAAUAUGAAUAAUAUAUCUGCAUGACGGUACCUGAGGAGGAAGCCACGGCUAACUACGUGCCAGCAGCCGCGGUAAUACGUAGGUGGCAAGCGUUGUCCGGAAUUAUUGGGCGUAAAGGGCGUGUAGGCGGGAUAAUAAGUCUGUUGUAAAAGUGCGGGGCUCAACCCCGUAAGGUCAAUGGAAACUGUUAUUCUUGAGUGCAGGAGAGUAAAGUGGAAUUCCCAGUGUAGCGGUGAAAUGCGUAGAUAUUGGGAGGAACACCAGUGGCGAAGGCGACUUUCUGGACUGUGUCUGACGCUGAGGCGCGAAAACCAGGGGAGCGAACG